AGGUGCGCUAAUACCGGAUGUGGAAGCCGCCCGCCUGGGCGGUUCUCUAAAGGCGCAAGCCGCUUCGGGAUGGGCCUGCGGCCUAUCAGCUUGUUGGUGGGGUAACGGCCUACCAAGGCGGCGACGGGUAGCUGGUCUGAGAGGAUGGUCAGCCAGACAGGGACUGAGACACGGCCCUGACUCCUUUGGGGGGCAGCAAUGAGGGAUAUUGCACAAUGGGGGCAACCCUGAUGCAGCGACGCCGCGUGGGUGACGAAGUCCUUCGGGAUGUAAAGCCCUUUUGCCGGGGAAGAGAACGGACGGUACCCGGCGAAUAAGCCCCGGCUAACUACGUGCCAGCAGCCGCGGUAAUACGUAGGGGGCGAGCGUUGUCCGGAUUUACUGGGCGUAAAGCGCGUGUAGGCGGCCGUUUAAGUCGGGUGUGAAAGCCCGGGGCUUAACCCCGGGAUGCCGCUCGAGACUGGAC
RNAcentral lists this ribosomal RNA (466 nucleotides) under uncultured Armatimonadota bacterium. Its description in RNAcentral is "bacterial SSU rRNA". It matches the Rfam family "Bacterial small subunit ribosomal RNA", at positions 156 to 638 of the family's 1533-position model. The record is from RNAcentral. Lineage: Bacteria; Bacillati; Armatimonadota.